AUUGAACGCUGGCGGCAUGCCUUACACAUGCAAGUCGAACGGCAGCGCGGGGGCAACCUGGCGGCGAGUGGCGAACGGGUGAGUAAUAUAUCGGAACGUACCCAGAAGUGGGGGGAUAACGUAGCGAAAGUUACGCUAAUACCGCAUACGAUCUACGGAUGAAAGUGGGGGACCUUCGGGCCUCAUGCUUUUGGAGCGGCCGAUAUCUGAUUAGCUAGUUGGUGAGGUAAAGGCUCACCAAGGCGACGAUCAGUAGCUGGUCUGAGAGGACGACCAGCCACACUGGGACUGAGACACGGCCCAGACUCCUACGGGAGGCAGCAGUGGGGAAUUUUGGACAAUGGGGGCAACCCUGAUCCAGCAAUGCCGCGUGAGUGAAGAAGGCCUCGGUGUAAGACUCUUUGUCUAGGGAAGGAAACGGUAGGA
RNAcentral lists this ribosomal RNA (426 nucleotides) under uncultured bacterium. RNAcentral describes it as "bacterial SSU rRNA". It matches the Rfam family "Bacterial small subunit ribosomal RNA", at positions 30 to 459 of the family's 1533-position model. The record is from RNAcentral.